This 407-nucleotide ribosomal RNA is filed under the name uncultured bacterium. Its description in RNAcentral is "partial 16S ribosomal RNA". It matches the Rfam family "Bacterial small subunit ribosomal RNA", at positions 30 to 526 of the family's 1533-position model. The record is from RNAcentral.
AUUGAACGCUGGCGGCAGGCCUAACACAUGCAAGUCGAGCGGAGCGGCGGACGGGUGCGUAAUACCUAUGAAUCUGCCUGGUAGUGGGGGCUAACGUCCGGAAACGGGCGCUAAUACCGCAUACUAUCAGAUGAGCCUCGGGCGGAUUAGCUAGUUGGUGGGGUAAAGGCCUACCAAGGCGACGAUCCGUAACUGGUCGGAGAGGAUGAUCAGUCACACUGGAACUGAGACACGGUCCAGACUCCUACGGGAGGCAGCAGUGGGGAAUAUUGGACAAUGGGGGAAAGCCUGAUCCAGCCAUGCCGCGUGUGUGAAGAAGGUCUUCGGGUUGUAAAGUACUUUAAGUUGGGAGGCGUUACCAGCAGAAUAAGCACCGGCUAACUACGUGCCAGCAGCCGCGGUAAUAC